Long non-coding RNA from Anolis carolinensis (green anole), 3182 nucleotides. RefSeq lists it as uncharacterized. NCBI's taxonomy places the organism in Eukaryota, Metazoa, Chordata, Lepidosauria, Squamata, Anolidae. The transcript is spliced from 4 exons. The record is from RefSeq and is a predicted model, not a curated record.
AGAGGGUUGGACUGUAUGGUCCUUAUGGUCUCUUGCAACUUUAUGAUUCUGUGAAUGAGUUGUUGAAACUUUAAAAGCCCCAAAGUUAUCUGGAUAUGCACAGAUUUGUCACAUGAGUUUCUCAUUACCAGCCAUCAUGGCGAAUUAAAAGGAAGGAAAUGUCUCUUUGUAGUGAUGGAGCUUUGCUGAUGAAGCAUCUUGAAAUAUCUUUGUUUGAAUGUAUGGGGAGGGAAUGUCAUCAUUCAACCAGAGCACUUUUGUCUGUAUCUGAUCAUCAGCAUCAAUAAUCCAGAGCUUCUAAUCAAAGUCAGUAUGAGGAGAAACUCUUUCUUUAAUUGAACAGUCAGUACAUUCCUGCCAAUUUGUCACAUUCCUGCCUUUUCAUUAGAGCUGCAUAAAAAGCAAGCACUAAGCUAUAAUAAUGGCCAACACAUAACACAGAAAAAGGAAGGCAACGAAAAUCUUUCCAACAUUCUUGUGAUCUUUCUAAAACUCAAGUGCCUGUUCGGUGUGCAUGGCGAGAAAUGAGCCCUAAAUGAUGUGAAAGCCACUGCAUUUCUUUUGUCCUAUUACAUUUUGUGGUUUCCAUAAAACCCAUAAAGCUCUUCCUUAACUUGGCAGUCUUGAGGGUUAAUUAAACAAGUAGCAUCAGAAUAUUAAUACCAGCACUCAUUUUCUAUAGGUCAGUACAUUUGGGGAGCUGAAAUUUGUGAUUCCGGUCUAAGAAUGUGAACGUUCUAGCUAGCUGGAUGUGCUGUUUCCCUGGAUACCUUCACUUUUAGGACCCAGCUGGAUGCAGCAUUCAUUUUGUGUAUGUGUGGCAUAUACAUUUAUAUUUUUAAUGCAACCAAGAUUAGAAUUACAAAGGUGGGUUGUGGGAGGGGCUCAUUCUUUUUCCUUCCACUUUCCCAAUGAAAAUUGUUGCCCCAAACCAAAAUUGCCCUCUCAACUAAUUGAUAUGAAUGUGGUGCUAUAUUACAUUUCUGCUAAAAGACUUUUACAAUUACAAGCAUACCUGAAUAGAACCUAUGAGACGGACACUCCUUUUAACAAAGACGUUUUACAUCUCUCAGGCCUCACUUCCCCUUUUAUUUUUCUCUCCUGACCACCUAGAGGCUUUUCAAUAGCAUCAGCAUUGGGAGGAUAGUUGAAAGAGAAAUAUGUGCUCAUGAUGUUGCGUUGCAACAGUGUGUCUGCAGUAAACAGUACAACAAACAAAACACUGCUGAAAAACAAAAACAAAAACCUGAGUGCAUUUUGGAAGAAACCUUCCAAAACAGUGGUUCUCAACCUAUGGGUCCCCAGAUGUUUUUGGCCUUCAACUUCCAGAAAUCCUAACAUCUGGUAAACUGGCUGGGAUUUCUGGGAGUUGUAGGUCAAAAUCCCUGGGGACCCACAGGUUGAGAACCACUGCUUUAGAAGAUUCAAAAUGUUUUUAUUAUCUUAUUCAAGACUUAACUGAUCUGGUUAAGUGCAUAUCAUACGUGCAUAAUGUUAGUUUGGAAUAAAAAUUCUGCUGAAACAUGCUGAAGCUGCUCUUCUUUUAUGAAGUGUUGGAAUCUAUCCCCUAUUCUUUCCGUGUUAUUUGUGUCUCUGAUACUAAAUAUUUUCUUAAUAUGUUAAAAAAGAGGUUUUUAAUCUUAAUUCAGACAAUUAUAUCUUCACAGUGGCAUCAUAAUGGGUGGCAGAGGGUGCUCUCACUUGUUCAAAAUAAGAGGGUGCAAGGGUGGCUUUUUUCUUUCCUCCCUCAUUUAGGUGCUUUGAGAAAAGGAAAGCAGAGAUUGCCUGUCAAAAAUGCAAUUUGGGUAGGACCCACUCAUACUCUGCAUUGAGACAAAAUCCUGAAUUGGAAAGAUGCAUCAUUGAAUACUAAGGUUAGAAUUGCCCAUGCAUUAGAAGUGUGUGGACAGGGAGUGGGGUAUUUCCAGUUUCUAUGUAAGGUUAUGAAAGCUGGAUGGUGACAAAAGCUGUUGGGAAGAAAAUCAACUCAUUUGAAAUAUGAUUCUGGAGAAGACCUCUAUGAAUACUAAAAAGACACAUGAAUAGAUCCUAUGACCACAUCAGAUGUGUGUGGGGGAUUGGCGGCAUGCAUCAGUUUGCCUUCCCUUUUAUGACAGAGCCCGCCAGCUCCUAUCUCACAACGCACUGCAAAUUCUGUCGGGGCUCCAUCGAAAAGAGGUAGGCAAACUGGUGCAUGCCAACAUAUGUUGCCAUGGAUCAACUGUGGGAAGCUGGGUGGUAGAUGCCUUCUCCCAUGGCUGGGGACUUGUAUGAGUUAGGUAAUACAUGCUGUGGGGUGACAGGUUCCCCAUGACCCCGGAUGGGCAAUACCAGAAUUGCCACAAUCUGUGAAGAUUCUGGCGGCAUGAUUGAUAAGGUCACUAGAGAAAAUUUAACCCCAGGCUCUUUUUAACUAAGCUAUAACUUUUAUACUUUAGACAUACCAUGAGAUACAUGUUACUGUUGUUUUGUUAACUUCCAUCAGGUUGGUUUCAACAAAUUGAAACUCUAUGAAUGAGAGACCCUCAAAUAGCCCUAUCAUCAACAGCUCUGCUCAGCUCUUACAAAUUCAAGGCUUUGGCUUCUUUGAUUGAAUCUAUACAUUAAUAAUGUGGUCUUCCUCUCUUGCCGCUACCUUCUACCUUACCAAGAAUAAAGGACUUUUUAGUGACUUCAUGUCUUUUCUCUAGAAUAAUGUUUGGCAAGGAGAAAAGUAUGAAAAGAGUGAGUGCAAAGACAUGAUGAUCAUUAUCAAGUUUCCAAGGAAGGAAAUGUAUGCUCUUCUAUUUUCCCCAGGCUUCUUGAAAGGUGAAUUAUAUGCAUGCAGAUGAAAAGGAGAUGAGAGAAAGCCAGAUAGAAGACAGAUUGAUGCAUAGAUAAAUGCUCAUGGAGGAAGGCAACUAAACUAUGCAGAUUCCAAAUUUACAGCAUAACCUUUGAAGCCCACCCAACCCAGCCAUCCUCUUCAGGAAGGUGGCACACAUUGAAAAGUAUCCAUCAACACUGGACAAGCAGGAAUCAUGGUUAAAUCCACUGAAACUGUAUCAGCGAAAGCAUCCAAGCUGGAGCAAAUCUGAGGUUCUGCAGAACACAUGGAUGCUGUCAUUUCCCUGCUUCCCAAAAACAAAUCUGAGACAUCAAGAAAAUUGCAAAUCACAUGCUUCUCAUUCGCAUACAUGUAC